Molecule: ribosomal RNA, 105 nt
Filed under: Halomonas sp.
Lineage: Bacteria; Pseudomonadati; Pseudomonadota; Gammaproteobacteria; Oceanospirillales; Halomonadaceae
Description: partial 16S ribosomal RNA
Rfam family: Bacterial small subunit ribosomal RNA
Source: RNAcentral
AAACUGAAGAGUUUGAUCAUGGCUCAGAUUGAACGCUGGCGGCAGGCCUAACACAUGCAAGUCGAGCGGUAACAGAUCUAGCUUGCUAGAUGCUGACGAGCGGCG